Molecule: long non-coding RNA, 1169 nt
Organism: Leucoraja erinaceus (little skate)
Lineage: Eukaryota; Metazoa; Chordata; Chondrichthyes; Rajiformes; Rajidae
Exons: 3
Source: RefSeq, a predicted model, not a curated record
AGCAGAAGGAUUUUUAAACACGACCUUUUAUAGCGGCUGGUGGCGUUAUUGUUACACAGAGAAUGUUGUUUCAAAAGUAUUUGAUAUUUAUUUAACGAAGCAUUUGGAUGUUCCAGUAUUCCACUCUGGUGAUUCUUGCUGCUUGGCCCACUGAGUUGUUUCUGCAGUGCCGAGGAAGACCCACGUGUCCUGAACAUUGGUUAGUUCAUCUCAAUUUUCUGUCCUGGGCCUGCUCCAUUACCCGAGUGAGGCCACCCGCAAAUUGGAAGAACGCACAUCAUAUUCCGCUUGGAUACCUAACAACCCAACGCGAUGAACAUUGAAUUCUGCAAUUUUAGAUUUGCAAUCCAUCCCAGAGAGAGAAGAGGAGACAAGGGUCUCUUCCUGUCUGCCAGCUGUCCCAAUAAAAGUCCCAACCGGCGUUUCAGCAGCGUUGCCCUCUGAGGUCACUAGCAGAACACAUGCAGAUAGGUGAAGUGUCCCGUUGGAUCAUUAGGGGGCGCAUUCUAAGGAAAACCACUGAAUGAAAAUGAAAUAGAUUGAAGGUUGCAUAUCCUGACACUGCCAUCUCUUCAUUUGAUAAACAUACAUUCAAUGUUAGGUAUCUGUGCAAAGAAAUCGAGGGUGGGAAAUAGAGAGAAGGAGUAGAUGAUCAUGCAAAAUGCCAAGAGCAUGUUCAUCGAUUAUAAGCCUGGAAAAUUGUUUCAUGAAGUGAACAUGCAUUGACAUAAAAGAUAAUCAGCAAGGUGGUCGAGGAAAGAAACAAUAUGCACACAUUGGAGGAUGAUAUAAAAACUUGAAAAGGAAAAUGGAAAAAUUCUGAAAGAAAAUGGACAAAAAGCCUUCAAAUUUAAUAAAAGCCCAAAUAUGUCAAACCCACCACUUUGCAAAUAUUGACUGACCAGUAUGUAUUUGAAAUGUUUCAGUCUUCAAGCUUAUUGUUUUAACAAUAAAACAAUUCAGCACAAAAUAAUGAACACCUAACCAGUUGUUUCUAUGUGUUGUUUUAAUUUAUCUCAGUGAUGCAAACUUGUUUUAAUAAAGUUAAAAUAAUCAAUAAUUUAUUCAUAACCAAAUCCUUACAACAAUUAUCUUAGUAUGAAAUCAGAUUGAAAUAUAGCACACAAUUAUCUCAUCAACUGCUCUCAUUGAUUGUACAUAGAUUUCAA